AUGAACGCUAGCGACAGGCCUAACACAUGCAAGUCAGGGGCAGCACAAGGAGCAAUCUGAGGUGGCGACCGGCGCACGGGUGAGUAACACGUAUGCAACCUGCCUGUAAGCGGGGAAUAACCCGUUGAAAGACGGACUAAUACCGCAUAAUACUAAAUUACUGCAUAGUAAUUUAUUUAAACAUUUAUGGCUUACAGAUGGGCAUGCGCAUGAUUAGCUAGUUGGAGAGGUAACGGCUCCCCAAGGCAACGAUCAUUAGGGGUUCUGAGAGGAAGGUCCCCCACACUGGUACUGAGACACGGACCAGACUCCUACGGGAGGCAGCAGUGAGGAAUAUUGGUCAAUGGACGAGAGUCUGAACCAACCAAGUCGCGUGCAGGAAGAAUGUCCUUAAUGGAUUGUAAACUGCUUUUGCAGGGGAAUAAAGUGCAUCACGUGUGAUGUUUUGUAUGUACUCUGCGAAUAAGGAUCGGCUAACUCCGUGCCAGCCGCAGC
This 495-nucleotide ribosomal RNA is filed under the name uncultured bacterium. RNAcentral's name for it is "bacterial SSU rRNA". It matches the Rfam family "Bacterial small subunit ribosomal RNA", at positions 29 to 518 of the family's 1533-position model. The record is from RNAcentral.